Molecule: ribosomal RNA, 116 nt
Filed under: Escherichia coli
Lineage: Bacteria; Pseudomonadati; Pseudomonadota; Gammaproteobacteria; Enterobacterales; Enterobacteriaceae
Also listed under: 15 other names
Source: RNAcentral
CCUGGCGGCAGUAGCGCGGUGGUCCCACCUGACCCCAUGCCGAACUCAGAAGUGAAACGCCGUAGCGCCGAUGGUAGUGUGGGGCCUCCCCAUGCGAGAGUAGGGAACUGCCAGGC